This 696-nucleotide ribosomal RNA is filed under the name uncultured bacterium. RNAcentral describes it as "bacterial SSU rRNA". It matches the Rfam family "Bacterial small subunit ribosomal RNA", at positions 59 to 769 of the family's 1533-position model. The record is from RNAcentral.
CAGUCGACGAGAGAGAGGGAGCUUGCUUCCUUGAUCGAGUGGCGAACGGGUGAGUAACGCGUGAGGAACCUGCCUCAAAGAGGGGGACAACAGUUGGAAACGACUGCUAAUACCGCAUAAGCCCACGGCUCGGCAUCGAGCAGAGGGAAAAGGAGCGAUCCGCUUUGAGAUGGCCUCGCGUCCGAUUAGCUAGUUGGUGAGGUAACGGCCCACCAAGGCGACGAUCGGUAGCCGGACUGAGAGGUUGAACGGCCACAUUGGGACUGAGACACGGCCCAGACUCCUACGGGAGGCAGCAGUGGGGAAUAUUGCACAAUGGGGGAAACCCUGAUGCAGCGACGCCGCGUGGAGGAAGAAGGUCUUCGGAUUGUAAACUCCUGUUGUUGAGGAAGAUAAUGACGGUACUCAACAAGGAAGUGACGGCUAACUACGUGCCAGCAGCCGCGGUAAAACGUAGGUCACAAGCGUUGUCCGGAAUUACUGGGUGUAAAGGGAGCGCAGGCGGGAGAACAAGUUGGAAGUGAAAUCCAUGGGCUCAACCCAUGAACUGCUUUCAAAACUGUUUUUCUUGAGUAGUGCAGAGGUAGGCGGAAUUCCCGGUGUAGCGGUGGAAUGCGUAGAUAUCGGGAGGAACACCAGUGGCGAAGGCGGCCUACUGGGCACCAACUGACGCUGAGGCUCGAAAGUGUGGGUAGC